Molecule: RNA transcript, 1173 nt
Organism: Gavialis gangeticus (Gharial)
Lineage: Eukaryota; Metazoa; Chordata; Crocodylia; Gavialidae
Gene: CUNH11orf65
Gene name: chromosome unknown C11orf65 homolog
Exons: 11
Source: RefSeq, a predicted model, not a curated record
GAGGGGUCGGGGGCUUGGUCCUUCGCCUGGGUGCAUCUGGCCUACCUGGCUGCCUGCUUCACCUGCGGUAGGUAACUGUAAGACCAAUGGACGAAGAGGACAAUGCAAUAGAUCUCUAUAAUAAUGCAAACCUAGAGAAACAGAACGAAGCUGCAAGAAUCAUUCAGAGAUCUUGGAAAAGAUAUAUUGAUACCCAUAUUUUUCAAUACUACAAAGGACUUAUCAGUUUUAAAAUGGUAGGGGAACCUCGUCUUUUGAUGAAAUACAUUGACCCUGUAGAGGCAGAAUUCCUAGAUGCUGCAGCAGGUGCAUAUAUCAGAUUCAGACUGGGCGGUACCAGGUAUCCUCCAAAUAUAUACUAUAAAAUAUUCACUCAUAGACCUGUUGUAGAUAUGUGUGCUAACAGCCCUAAAGAUUAUUCAAAGUUGGCAUCCAAACAGAGUCUGACAGAAAAGAUUCAUGGAAAGAUUUGGAAAGAUGAUGGCAGUGGCUGGUACAAACGUGUAGAGAACAAUGGUUGGAGACUUCUUUCUGCCAAAGCUUGGAAAAGCAUGGAUCCUUUCACAACUGAGGACAACAAAAAGGAAAUACAAUUUCAUUUCUCUAAGCUGAAGAGGAAACAAGAUGUUGAAGUGAGAAGAAAAAGGAAAAAAAUUGAAUGGCUGAAAAAAAUGUAUUCCUCAGGAAGCCUGUGGGUCAGAACAGGUGACCCUACCAUUACAGUCUUAAUCCAGAGAGCUGCAGAAGGCAUUAUUGAUGCCACUGAGAAAGAAAGAGCACAGGAUGUAAUGGAAUGGGAAGUGGAUGAAUUAUUGAAAUGGACAAAUGUACUUGACUAUGGAGAAUAUAUGAGCCAGUGGAAGGAAAUUGCAACAAGCAACACUUCCAACAACUAUACGGGUCUCAGGAACAAAGACCUUGCAGUUACUGGACUCAAACCCACUGGCUUGGAUGCAGCAACUCCCUCUUCGUCUCCGCUCUUCUGGUACACCAGCUCCCCAGACAACAUGACCCAGUGAUUCUCAGCCAGGGAGCUGUGGGGUGUCACACAAUGUGAGCACUUGUAGGAGUGUAAAUAUAAUUUACAAGAUCAGCAAUUUAAAGAACCUCUACCCAACAUGAAAUGAAACAGAUUCUUCUUUUCCUACUGUAACUCACCAUCAUAGCCUUGUG